RNAcentral lists this ribosomal RNA (589 nucleotides) under uncultured bacterium. RNAcentral's name for it is "partial 16S ribosomal RNA". It matches the Rfam family "Bacterial small subunit ribosomal RNA", at positions 355 to 1376 of the family's 1533-position model. The record is from RNAcentral.
UGGGGAAUAUUGCACAAUGGGCGCAAGCCUGAUGCAGCCAUGCCGCGUGUGUGAAGAAGGCCUUCGGGUUGUAAAGCACUUUCAGCGAGGAGGAAGGUGGUGAGCUUAAUACGCUCAUCAAUUGACGUUACUCGCAGAAGAAGCACCGGCUAACUCCGUGCCAGCAGCCGCGGUAAUACGGAGGGUGCAAGCGUUAAUCGGAAUUACUGGGCGUAAAGCGCACGCAGGCGGUUUGUUAAGUCAGAUGUGAGAUCCCCGGGCUCAACCUGGGAACUGCAUUUGAAACUGGCAAGCUAGAGUCUCGUAGAGGGGGGUAGAAUUCCAGGUGUAGCGGUGAAAUGCGUAGAGAUCUGGAGGAAUACCGGUGGCGAAGGCGGCCCCCUGGACGAAGACUGACGCUCAGGUGCGAAAGCGUGGGGAGCAAAACAGGAUUAGAUACCCUGGUAGUCCACGCUGUAAACGAUGUCGAUUUUGGAGGUUGUGCCCUUGAGGCGUGGCUUCCGGAGCUAACGCGUUAAAUCGACCGCCUGGGGAGUACGGCCGCAAGGUUAAAACUCAAAGGAAUUGACGGGGUCAUAGCUGUUUCCUG